UGACGAUAUCUAUGGUAGAGGAGGCUCGUGUCCCUAGUUUAUUUCAAUGAGUCGUAUUUUUUGCAUUGCGUUUGCCAAAUGCGGACUGUAACUUUGUGGAAAACUGCAACAAAAUGGUUAAUCAACGCUCUUAAAUGGAAAAUAGGCAGAAGUUGAGCUGCACCACUUCAAAUGAAUGAAAACUGAAUCUCAGGAAGACUGGCUCUACGUGCCAGCUGAAUAGUCUCUGUUUCAACACUUCAUCACCCUUGCCCACUUCAGUCCCACCCCUACCAAUCCACCAGGAUCUUUGGUUACACCCUCCAUGUGAGGACCACAAAGCAGUGCUUUGCAUUAAAAACCCUGCUCUUCUAGAUUCUUCCACAACAAUCUCAUGAAGAAUCAGGCUGAUCUUCAACACCUAAUCCAGCAACUAGUUACACAGAUGCUCUGAUCCUGAGCGGCUUACGAAAGCCCAUACAGAACUUUAGACAAAGAGCAGAGAGGAUACCAGUAUAGCUGUCACAACCCAUUGGUGAUGCCCUUACUUAAACAUACAAUUAUGUUAAAUGCCAUAUUUUAAGAGGGAAUUUGAGGAUAUAGUGCUUUAAUUGUCAAAUUCAUUUUUUAAAGAUGCAGUUCUACUUGAUGUAGUGGAAGGAAAGAUUAAAACUAGGCAUUUUAAUCAGUUAAUAUACAGUAGGGAUGUUCCAGGACACUACCAAGUCCUGGUUGUUUUCAUUCUUUAUCACGGAGUAAUACAAUUAUGAUACUCCAUUUAUACUUCUUAUUCAGGAGUAUGUUAUUUUUUAAGGCCAAACUGUCCACAGCAUUGAAAGCACAGACAUGUGUCAAUCAAACAGGGCAUGGACCUCCGGAAGCAGUUAACAGAUAUUACAAGGACAGAGAAGGGCUUUGGUUUGGAAGAGUAAACUCGGUAUAAAGAAUAGAAUUGUGUGGUUUGCAAAAGCCCAUAUAAAAACAAGAAGCAGUGAUAAUACGGGGAUAGCACUGCCACAACCAAUUGCAGGAGUCAUUGCGUACGCUGGCAAAAUAGCAUUCGGUGUCAUAGUAGCUGCAAGAGGGAAUUUGAGGAUACAUUAUGAAGUGUCAAAUGGCUUGGAGGAUAUAUUUUUAAAUUUAGCAGAAGAACUAGCAUAAGUGCUUUUAUUUCAGGGGUCCUGGGAAGUUUUGAAUUUCUGUUCAAUCAGUGGCAGAGGAUAAUAUUGGGGAGUUAUACGAAAUAGUUCAUAGGCCCUGUUAACAUACACUAUAUGGCCAAAAGUAUCUGGACACCGUUUGAGGCUGUUUUUCAUGGUUUGGGCCAGGCCCCACAGUUCCAGUGAAGGGAAAUCUUUAUACUACAGUGUACAGUCACAUUCUAGAUGCUUAUGUGCUUCCUCAACAGUUUGCCACCUUGUGUAACAACCAUUAGACACUGAACUGAAGGCACAGCACCCCAUGUUUUCACUGAUACACUCCCACAAGCCCAGACCAUAUCGUUAAGCAGGUUUACUGCAGACCACAAAAAUGCCAAACUGGGUAGAGGUGAAGCAUAUUCGUUGCACAUGAUAAAAUUAGCAAUUCCACUGGUGCCCGUGUCCCUUUUUGUGUACCCACAUCUGGUACAAGGAGCAGAAUUUUGGCAGAACCAAGGCUCUGAAUUAAGGUUUGAGAGGCUACAAACUCACUUUUGUGCAUUUUGUAUUCUUAUGCAUACUAAUGUUGAUCCAAGCCUGAUUCCAUUGAAAACAAUGCAUUUAACAGUGAUGGUAGCUUUUAUAUGAUGCAAUGAAAUGCAAUAAUGCACAUUGGGGAGUUUACCAUAGACACCAAUAUUACAGACACAGGUUAAUAUUUAAUGAAUGCUGUAGGUCAGCCCAGGAUGUACAUGAUGUAGAAUGCAGGAAAGUGAAGUGAUCCAAUAAUGUUUCAGUUUUUAGGCUUAUUAAAAACAUCAAUCUUUACACUCUCCUGUAGAGUAGCUGAAGAAACAGUUGGCCAGACU
This is a long non-coding RNA of Anguilla rostrata (American eel), 1987 nucleotides long. RefSeq lists it as uncharacterized. The record is from RefSeq and is a predicted model, not a curated record. NCBI's taxonomy places the organism in Eukaryota, Metazoa, Chordata, Actinopteri, Anguilliformes, Anguillidae. The transcript has 4 exons.